Molecule: ribosomal RNA, 255 nt
Filed under: uncultured bacterium
Lineage: Bacteria
Description: partial 16S ribosomal RNA
Rfam family: Bacterial small subunit ribosomal RNA
Source: RNAcentral
UACGUAGGGUGCGAGCGUUGUCCGGAAUUAUUGGGCGUAAAGAGCUCGUAGGCGGUCUGUCGCGUCUGCUGUGAAAUCCCGAGGCUCAACCUCGGGCCUGCAGUGGGUACGGGGCAGACUAGAGUGCGGUAGGGGGAGACUGGAAUUCCUGGUGUAGCGGUGAAAUGCGCAGAUAUCAGGAGGAACACCGAUGGCGAAGGCAGGUCUCUGGGCCAUUACUGACACUGAGAAGCGAAAGCGUGGGGAGCGAACAGG